AUGAAGGUCAGCGGUGAGAUCCCAGCCCUCCCGGACACGCAUCCUGCAAACCUCGACUGGCCCCUACCUCCGGCCCGGCCACAGGACCCGGACACAGAGGCGGGGAAGCCCCGGCCACGGCCGGCUUCGAGGACACAUACCUGCUGCCUGGGCUCGGGAUUCGCUUGGCUCUGCAGCGGUGCCGGCCGCAGCUCGCGCUCCCGGGGCUCCCCUGUCCGCCCCCCUGCCCCCUCGCGGCUCUGCCGCUCCCUGGGCUCCUCCGCCCACCGCGCUCGGGGGCGCGCGCGCGGUCUCGCUUCGGCGGCUUACCCGGGCUCGCGCCUGCGCCCUCGCCUCCCGCCGUCCGCGCGCGCGCCCCCGGCGGCUGCGGAGCGGCGGCGCGGCUGUCUAGGAAACAGCAGUCUCGGCGGGUCCGGCUGGCGGCUGCAGCCGGGCAGGGGGCGGGGGCUGGGCAGCCACCAGGGUCCGAACGCAGCGCGCCGGCGCCGUGGCGUGGAUAUACCCGGUUUUAACGUGGUUGUAAUUGGCAUAAUAUCCCAUACCAAAAUGUCUUUUGAGAAGAAAUAGAGGUGAACUAUAAAGUGAGAGCCAGUUGCCUCUCUACUCUGCAAUCUAGGAGGAAAAAAGUUUCACCCAAGGACAAAUCAGGUAAGUAUUUGUUAAUUCUUUCUAAUGUUUUGGAACCAUACAUAUAGCCAUGAUUUGUCAACUGUAACCAUAGAUUAUGGGUUUAAAUUAACUAAGAGACAAUAAGGUAGACUCCACAGUAUGGAAGUUCUGUAACCUUUAAUUUAUAGUUCUGUAUAAGAGACAAUAAGGUAGACUCCACAGUAUGGAAGUUCUGUAACUUUUAAUUUAUAGAAGCUGGAGUCUCAUUUCAGAAGCCUGUACGUGUAGAAUCCUGUUCAAUUAUGUAUUAGCUAUAAAAGCAUUACAGACAACAAAGUUCUGUAAACUGGCUAAAUCUAAGUCUGGUCUUUGUGAUUUAAAAAUAAUACGGGUAGAACUAAAGAAGGUUAAGAAAGUUUUGGAGAAUAGGAGUCUGGAAAAUAGUCCAAGUUGUUGAGCUUAGAAAACAAAGCCUCAGAGGUAAUCAUACUUUUCAAGCAGGUAAGAUAUUGUCAUACUGAGAAUGGUACCUGUCCUUUUCCCAUCUCCUUAGGGGAAACACAGCAGGAUAAAUUUACAUUAGAAAAAUCAAAGAUUUUGAAAUUAAGAUGUUUAAGAUUAGAAGGAUUUAUGUUAGGAAAUUGUAGAAUCUGCUUUAUAAAAGGUCUAAGUAGACUGAUCAUCUGCCAAGAAUAGCUUAUACAUCCAUCUAAUCCACUUAUACAUCCAUCUAAUUUUAUGAUGCUAUGGUUGAUUUUGAAAAACACAGUGAUUUAUGUCUAAGGCAGUAGCUAACAUGGUAUAUUUCUAAUGACAGAAUAUGUAAAUUUAUAGAACUUGACUUCAGGAGUAUCAUGGAAAGUUAUAAAGUUAUUUUAUGAGCCCAGAAAUAGUCAUAUAUUUUAUUCAGUUCCAUUGUUGGCCAUGUGACCAUUAUUAACAUGUUUAAUUUUUCUGUUUCACAUAUGAAUAUAUAUUAACACUGACAGAAAUGGAAUUAUGGACUCUUAAUGAAUCACUUUUAUCAAGACUCAAGAGAAGGAUGGGAGGAUAAAUUUAAAGAUGAGUGUGUUCAGGAUUGUUGAGGACUGCUCUCUGAAAUGUGCGAUAAGGUGGCAAUGUCAAACAAUAAGUGGACCACGGUGGGAUAGUCUGAAAAUGGCAUUUGGGAACAAAGACAAGACUGUUCUCAUUUCUUUCCAUUGAUUCCGAGAAACAGGGGAAAGUAAGGACUAAAUAGUUAUAUUGGAAAAUGCACCUUGUGAGUUAAAGGAAAACCAGAUUUUUAUUAAAAAUGAACUGCAGAGAAGUAAAAAAUAAACUUAGGAUAAAAAGAGUUUAUCCUUAGAGA
Molecule: long non-coding RNA, 1960 nt
Filed under: Felis catus (domestic cat)
Lineage: Eukaryota; Metazoa; Chordata; Mammalia; Carnivora; Felidae
Description: neuregulin 4 (ENSFCAG00000018694.5)
Source: RNAcentral